UACAUGGGGUGCAAACGUUGCUCGGAAUUAUUGGGCGUAAAGCGCACGUAGGCGGUUCGUUAAGUCGGAUGUGAAAGCCCUCGGCUCAACUGAGGAAGUGCACCCGAAACUGGCGAGCUUGAGUACGAAAGAGGAUCGCGGAAUUCCCGGUGUAGAGGUGAAAUUCGUAGAUAUCGGGAGGAACACCGGUGGCGAAGGCGGCGAUCUGGGUCGAUACUGACGCUGAGGUGCGAAGGCAUGGGUAGCGAACAGG
This 253-nucleotide ribosomal RNA is filed under the name uncultured bacterium. RNAcentral describes it as "partial 16S ribosomal RNA". It matches the Rfam family "Bacterial small subunit ribosomal RNA", at positions 524 to 776 of the family's 1533-position model. The record is from RNAcentral.